CUCAACAAGCCCGAGAGUGAAAUGACCCCGGAGGAGCUACAGAAGCGGGAGGAAGAAUUUCACACUGGUUCACUCUCUGCUCCCACAGUCAGUCAAGGACAACACCCAAGUGCUUACUAAUUGCUGCAAUAACAAGAAACUGCUGGGCCGGGUGAAGGCCUUUGAUAGGCGCUGCAACAUGGUGCUGGAGAAUGUGAAGGAGAUGUGGACUGAGGUCCCUAAAAGUGGCAAGGGUAAGAAGACGUCCAAGCCAGUCAACAAAGACUGCUGCAUCUCCAAGAUGUUCCUGCGUGGGGACUCGGUCAUUGUGGUCCUGCGGAACCCACUUAUUGCUGGCAAAUAGGCCCUCUUCCCCACUGACAGCGUGC
Molecule: RNA transcript, 368 nt
Organism: Otolemur garnettii (small-eared galago)
Lineage: Eukaryota; Metazoa; Chordata; Mammalia; Primates; Galagidae
Gene name: small nuclear ribonucleoprotein Sm D2 pseudogene
Exons: 1
Source: RefSeq, a predicted model, not a curated record